UACCUGCAGUCGAGCGGAUGAAGGGAGCUUGCUCCUGGAUUCUCGGCGGACGGGUGAGUAAUGCCUAGGAAUCUGCCUGGUAGUGGGGGAUAACGUCCGGAAACGGGCGCUAAUACCGCAUACGUCCUGAGGGAGAAAGUGGGGGAUCUUCGGACCUCACGCUAUCGGAUGAGCCUAGGUCGGAUUAGCUAGUUGGUGGGGUAAAGGCCUACCAAGGCGACGAUCCGUAACUGGUCUGAGAGGAUGAUCAGUCACACUGGAACUGAGACACGGACCAGACUCCUACGGGAGGCAGCAGUGGGGAAUAUUGGACAAUGGGCGAAAGCCUGAUCCAGCCAUGCCGCGUGUGUGAAGAAGGUCUUCGGAUUGUAAAGCACUUUAAGUUGGGAGGAAGGGCAGUAAGUUAAUACCUUGCUGUUUUGACGUUACCAACAGAAUAAGCACCGGCUAACUUCGUGCCAGCAGCCGCGGUAAUACGAAGGGUGCAAGCGUUAAUCGGAAUUACUGGGCGUAAAGCGCGCGUAGGUGGUUCAGCAAGUUGGAUGUGAAAUCCCCGGGCUCAACCUGGGAACUGCAUCCAAAACUACUGAGCUAGAGUACGGUAGAGGGUGGUGGAAUUUCCUGUGUAGCGGUGAAAUGCGUAGAUAUAGAGAAGGAACACCAGUGGCGAAGGCGACCACCUGCACUGAUACUGACACUGAGGUGCGAAAGCGUGA
Molecule: ribosomal RNA, 716 nt
Filed under: Pseudomonas aeruginosa
Lineage: Bacteria; Pseudomonadati; Pseudomonadota; Gammaproteobacteria; Pseudomonadales; Pseudomonadaceae
Description: bacterial SSU rRNA
Rfam family: Bacterial small subunit ribosomal RNA
Source: RNAcentral